GGGCAACCUGCCUGUAAGUUGGGGAUAACUCCGGGAAACCGGGGCUAAUACCGAAUGAUAAAGUGUGGCGCAUGCCACGCUUUUGAAAGAUGGUUUCGGCUAUCGCUUACAGAUGGGCCCGCGGUGCAUUAGCUAGUUGGUAGGGUAAUGGCCUAUCGAGGCAACGAUGCAUAGCCGACCUGAGAGGGUGAUCGGCCACACUGGGACUGAGACACGGNCCAGACUCCUACGGGAGGCAGCAGUAGGGAAUCUUCCGCAAUGGACGAAAGUCUGACGGAGCAACGCCGCGUGUAUGAAGAAGGUUUUCGGAUCGUAAAGUACUGUUGUUAGAGAAGAACAAGGAUAAGAGUAACUGCUUGUCCCUUGACGGUAUCUAACCAGAAAGCCACGGCUAACUACGUGCCAGCAGCCGCGGUAAUACGUAGGUGGCAAGCGUUGUCCGGAUUUAUUGGGCGUAAAGCGCGCGCAGGCGGUCUUUUAAGUCUGAUGUGAAAGCCCCCGGCUUAACCGGGGAGGGUCAUUGGAAACUGGAAGACUGGAGUGCAGAANAGGAGAGUGGAAUUCCACGUGUAGCGGUGAAAUGCGU
This 586-nucleotide ribosomal RNA is filed under the name uncultured bacterium. Its description in RNAcentral is "bacterial SSU rRNA". It matches the Rfam family "Bacterial small subunit ribosomal RNA", at positions 119 to 691 of the family's 1533-position model. The record is from RNAcentral.